UAAACCCCCAUACCAGCCUGAAGGCUUUUCUUGAUUUUAACAGAUAUUCUCCCAAUAACUUUGACCAGCUUCUCUGGUCCUGCUGGCUUCCUCAUGGUGGGCUGCAGCUCCAAGGGGGUCUGCUCAUGUGGCAGCUACACUGAGUACAUCUGGUGCUAAUGAGCUGAUGGACCCCGACACUACCAGCAGCAUUGUUUCACUGUUCUGAUUGUGUGUUUAAUAUUGGCCUCAAUUACCCAGAACAUCUUCUUCCACAUAUUACCUGUAGGGCUUGUGGGAGAUAUUAAAUGGACUUAACAUGACACUCUGUCAUUCUCUAAGUGAAUAGCAAAACAAAAAGUUAGUUGCAGUAAUGUCUGAAAACAGGCACAAAGUGAUUAAAGAAAGUAAAACUUCCAGACCCUCUACCUGCACCUCAAAAUCCAAAAGGUUUCCUUUGGCCAGUCUUAAUCUCUUGGAAGUGUCAUUUUUGAUCAGAUGUGGCCUUUUUAUUGCAGGCUGAAACAAGAUAAUUAGAUGAAAGAGGUUGUAAAACUUAUCCACCUCCUGAAGGAAAGGAAGGAAAGUUUCAACUCAUUCAUGGACCUCAUAAGAAAGUUCUCUGUCUCUAUCUCUAAUGGCUGUCAUUUCUGGGAUUCAACAGCUCAUGUAACCAGCCCAAUGGUCUUUAAUUGAGCUUUAGAUUUUUAAAGUUUGAUUUACAUACACAUUAUGCCAUUUUUUUUUAUCUUCAUACAGACUUUGCAUUGAUUUCCAUUCAUUUAUCAUUCAUUUAUAUGGCCUAACUUACUCCUUAUUCCUAACCAUUACUAGUACAUGCUAAACCUUAAACCUAACCUAAAAUCAAUUCAUGCCUUCGUCCAAAACCUAACUCCAAAAUGGCUUUAAUUUUCUUGUAAUGGGUUCUGGGCUUUGGGCCCCAUAAGGAGCGAUAAGUCCUCACUAUUUUAGUAUUUGUUUGAAAAAUUUUAUUUUUUAGGUGAGAAAUCCUAUAAACACACAAGUUUCUAUUUCUACCCAUAUUAGGACUUUGUAUUGACAUAUAUUUUCCUCUUGAGCUUCAAAUAUCAUAUGUACAUUUCAGACUAAUAAUUUCAGAAAUGUCCCUUGGUAUAAAUGCUCUAUUAGUGUUAGAACUGUAAAUAUCUUUUUUCCCAUAUAUACUCAUCAUUAACUUUAAGAACUGCGAGAUUCUUUUAUUUACUUCUCCUAUGUGUGUUUUUGUGAGAGAUGUCUGCAGGAAACUGAUAAGCGUGCCAGAUUGGAAGCAGAUACCAGUCACUCUGGAGCCAUAACUAAGAGCUGCUCUUAGUAAAACACCUAAAGGCUAAAGGUCAACGGUUAUGACCUAGGGACAUGAGAACUGCUUGAGACCUCACAUGCAUUAAGACAGGAGAUUCAUUGUAUAGAAAAGAUUUAUGACUGUGUGUUAGCAGUUGGGUUUUUUAUCUGCCCCUCCCUCCUUCAUCAUCUGGUAACUUGUCUGUGUAACCAGGGUUUCCCCAAUGAUCAAUAAAAGGAGGAGAAGCAAGAGAGGAUUUUUAGAGCGAGUUUGGAGACUGUGAAAAUCAGACCCUCCUCUUGCUCUCCUCGCAAGUAAAAUCCAAUUUAUUUGUCUCUCUCUUCUUUUUUUAAGUUUGUGAUGCUGA
Long non-coding RNA from Xiphophorus couchianus (Monterrey platyfish), 1649 nucleotides. RefSeq lists it as uncharacterized. The transcript is spliced from 3 exons. The record is from RefSeq and is a predicted model, not a curated record. NCBI's taxonomy places the organism in Eukaryota, Metazoa, Chordata, Actinopteri, Cyprinodontiformes, Poeciliidae.